UAGGGAAUCUUCCGCAAUGGACGCAAGUCUGACGGAGCAACGCCGCGUGAGUGAAGAAGGAUUUCGGUUCGUAAAACUCUGUUGUUAGAGAAGAACAGCGCAUAGAGUAACUGUUAUGCGUGUGACGGUAUCUAACCAGAAAGCCACGGCUAACUACGUGCCAGCAGCCGCGGUAAUACGUAGGGGGCUAGCGUUGUCCGGAAUCACUGGGCGUAAAGGGUUCGCAGGCGGAAAUGCAAGUCAGGUGUAAAAGGCAGUAGCUUAACUACUGUAAGCAUUUGAAACUGCAUAUCUUGAGAAAAGUAGAGGUAAGUGGAGUUUUUAGUGUAGCGGUGAAAUGCGUAGAUAUUAAAAAGAAUACCGGUGGCGAAGGCGACUUACUGGGCUCAUUCUGACGCUGAGGAACGAAAGCGUGGGUAGCAAACAGG
RNAcentral lists this ribosomal RNA (428 nucleotides) under Bacteroidota bacterium. Its description in RNAcentral is "Bacteroidetes bacterium partial 16S ribosomal RNA". It matches the Rfam family "Bacterial small subunit ribosomal RNA", at positions 355 to 776 of the family's 1533-position model. The record is from RNAcentral. Lineage: Bacteria; Pseudomonadati; Bacteroidota.